This 459-nucleotide ribosomal RNA is filed under the name uncultured bacterium. RNAcentral describes it as "partial 16S ribosomal RNA". It matches the Rfam family "Bacterial small subunit ribosomal RNA", at positions 338 to 795 of the family's 1533-position model. The record is from RNAcentral.
CCUACGGGUGGCAGCAGUGAGGAAUAUUGGUCAAUGGUCGCGAGCCUGAACCAGCCAAGUCGCGUGAGGGAAGACGGUCCUGUGGAUUGUAAACCUCUUUUGUCGGGGAGCAAAAGACGCCACGCGUGGCGGUCCGAGAGUACCCGAAGAAAAAGCAUCGGCUAACUCCGUGCCAGCAGCCGCGGUAAUACGGAGGAUGCGAGCGUUAUCCGGAUUUAUUGGGUUUAAAGGGUGCGCAGGCGGAAUGUAAAGUCAGCGGUAAAAUCGAGAGGCUCAACCUCUUCGAGCCGUUGAAACUGGUUUUCUUGAGUGAGUGAGAAGUAUGCGGAAUGCGCGGUGUAGCGGUGAAAUGCAUAGAUAUCACGCAGAACUCCGAUUGCGAAGGCAGCAUACCGGCGCCACACUGACGCUGAUGCACGAAAGUGUGGGUAUCGAACAGGAUUAGAUACCCGGGUAGUC